UGUGUAGCAUAAUAAUGUUCAUUAUUUGCGUUACAUAUUAUUAGUACAGUGACGCAAAUAAUUAUUUUGCUUAGGUUUUGGUUUCUCUUAUAGCUUAGCUUGCUGCCUCCCUUUCACUAAACAAAAAAAAAAAACAUUUGCUACUCCAUCCCUUCCAUGACAGUGAUUUCCUCACCAAAACACCUAGAAAUUUGACCAAAAAACCCCAGAAAUUUGACUAAAAACCCCCUCAGAUUUUCGACCAAAAAUUAGACCAAAAACCCAGCAACAUUUGAGCAGAAAUUCAACCCAAAAACCAGAUAAAUUCGAACAAAAAAUUGUCCAAAAACCCAGCGUAAAUCGACCAGAAAUUUGACCUAAACCCAGCAAAAGUCGACCAUAAAUUCGUCCAAAAACCCAGAGCAAUUCGACCUGAAAUUCGACCACAAAACCCAGCGAAAUUCGACCACAAAUUCAUUUAGGUUUUCAGCGAUAUUCAAACCAAAAACUCCCAAGAUUUUCGACUAAAAAACCCCCCACAAAUUCAACAACAAAAUUGCAAUCAAAUCGGGAAAAAUUCAGAGCUACAUUCCCCUAAUUUUGAGCAAAACACCAAAAAAAAAACCCUAACAUAUUCGAAACCAUAUAAAUCCCAGAAAAAUUGAACAAAUUCGAGCAUAAAUCCUCCAUUUCCAGCAAAAAAAUUGAAUCAAAACCCUAAGUUCGAACCCUAGAAACCCCAAAAAAAACAAUCAAAAUUCCUGGCAGAUUAUUCGAGUAAUGCAAGGAAUUAUUGUCUGAAUACUUGAUUUAUUUUGCCCCCCAAAACCCUAGGAAAUUCGAGCAAAUUAAAGCAACAAUAAUUUGUAAAGCAACAUUGGUGAAUUUGUGAAGUCGAUUUCACCCAAGGGUGUUUUUGAUCAAGCUACUUGAGAGUUCUUUUGAAGUGUUUUUUGCUAAGCAAGGAUCAAGUGUUAUUUCAGGUGAAGUGAAUAAAGUGAUGCAUUGGAGUCCCGGGAUUUGGUUUCACUAAAUUAGGAAUGUUGGUUUUGUAUCUAUUUUGAGUACUCAUAACAUUGGUUGCUAUUUCUAGUUAUUAUUAAUAAAGAAGAGUAUUGAAGUUUCCGCUGCAAAGUAUUGUUAUUCUUAGUAAUUUGAGUAGCCUUGCGUAAUCACGCGGC
This is a long non-coding RNA of Chenopodium quinoa (quinoa), 1160 nucleotides long. RefSeq lists it as uncharacterized. The transcript is spliced from 3 exons. Lineage: Eukaryota; Viridiplantae; Streptophyta; Magnoliopsida; Caryophyllales; Amaranthaceae. The record is from RefSeq and is a predicted model, not a curated record.